AUAUAAUUAAGGCUUUUACUCCAAAAAUCAUUAUAAUGAAAACAAGAUAUUAUAAAAUUUCAAAACACAACGAAACAUCAAAAUUUCAAUAUCAAAAAUAAUUUAAUGAUUCAAAAACAUCAAGAUGUAAGUUGAUGAAAAAUAAGUUUUAGAAAUUCAACAAAAUUGACACCAAUUUGUCGCAAUACAUUCAAAAUAGAGAUUUAACUAAUAUGGCAUCGGGGGUGGCUCUUUGAGCAUCUUUCCGACUUACCACUUUAUAACUCCGAAAAUUUUAAUAUUUUUAAACUUUUUCCAACUUUUUCAGCUUUUCAAUUAAUUUUCAUGUGGUAGCUUUGCACACUUGUCAGACGACCGGAGUGGUAGCUCUUUCCUACAUGUGGUGGUAGUUUUCACACACUUUUUAGGAUGUAACUCUUUCCACAUCUUUUAAACAUAGGAGUUUCUUUUUCUCCUUUUUUUUAUUUUUAAACAAUUUUAAACUCCCCCUAAAUUAGACAAUCUCACAGUUGAAAAUAAUUUUGACGAAUUUUAGUCAAUUAGAGAAUAUCCAUUCAUCAUAUCCAACACUCACAACGAAGAUGAAUUAAUCACCAAAAAAUCAAAUUUGAUUUCAAAGUUUUGAUGAAUAUAUGCAUUAAGAAAUCAUAUAUUAAAUUAUCGUCAAAAUAAUAAAAAGUGGAGUAAAACCGAUAAUUAAUAUGAAUUUAACUUAAUUAUCAUUGUGAAGAUAAACACCGUUCAAACACCUUUUUUUUUAAAAAAAAAAACAAUUUCUCUCUCCAAAAUUAUGGAUCUCAAUCAUCUCUUUUCUCGAAAAUUUUGAAUUCCUAAACACCUUUCCUCAAAAU
This 851-nucleotide long non-coding RNA is filed under the name Ananas comosus (pineapple). RNAcentral's name for it is "long non-coding RNA (ACOM_LNC036358)". Lineage: Eukaryota; Viridiplantae; Streptophyta; Magnoliopsida; Poales; Bromeliaceae. The record is from RNAcentral.